GAGCGCAACCCCUAUUGUUAGUUGCCAUCAUUCAGUUGGGCACUCUAGCGAGACUGCCGGUAAUAAACCGGAGGAAGGUGGGGAUGACGUCAAAUCAUCAUGCCCCUUAUGACCUGGGCUACACACGUGCUACAAUGGUUGGUACAACGAGUUGCGAGUCGGUGACGGCGAGCUAAUCUCUUAAAGCCAAUCUCAGUUCGGAUUGUAGGCUGCAACUCGCCUACAUGAAGUCGGAAUCGCUAGUAAUCGCGGAUCAGCACGCCGCGGUGAAUACGUUCCCGGGCCUU
Molecule: ribosomal RNA, 287 nt
Filed under: uncultured Streptococcus sp.
Lineage: Bacteria; Bacillati; Bacillota; Bacilli; Lactobacillales; Streptococcaceae
Description: partial 16S ribosomal RNA
Rfam family: Bacterial small subunit ribosomal RNA
Source: RNAcentral